This 355-nucleotide ribosomal RNA is filed under the name uncultured archaeon. RNAcentral's name for it is "bacterial SSU rRNA". It matches the Rfam family "Archaeal small subunit ribosomal RNA", at positions 19 to 346 of the family's 1478-position model. The record is from RNAcentral.
GGACCCCACUGCUAUCGGGAUAGGACUAAGACACGCUAGUCGUGCGCUUCCUAGCCACGAAGGGAGCGCGGCGCACAGCUCAGUAGCACGUGGCUAACCUGCCCUUGGGACGGGAACAACCCCGGGAAACUGGGGCUAAUUCCUGAUAGGUGAAGAACUCUGGAAUGAGUCUUUGCCGAAAGGGCGUUUACAUCAUGCUCGUAGGCGCUGCCCAAGGAUGGGGCCGCGGCCGAUCAGGUUGUUGGUGAGGUAACGGCUCACCAAGCCUAUAACCGGUGCGGGCCGUGAGAGCGGGAGCCCGGAGAUGGGCACUGAGACAAGGGCCCAGGCCCUACGGGGCGCAGCAGGCGCGAUG